This 643-nucleotide long non-coding RNA is filed under the name Physcomitrium patens. RNAcentral describes it as "long non-coding RNA (PPAT_LNC007515)". The record is from RNAcentral. Lineage: Eukaryota; Viridiplantae; Streptophyta; Bryopsida; Funariales; Funariaceae.
AGAAGAUCAAAAUUAUCAAAUAGAUGAUAAUCUCAAAAAUGUACUUAGAUAUGAGCUAGCCUCCUUCUUUGACCUUGAUGCCAAUCUCUCAGAGCCAAUUACUCCUAAUUGAAUCGUUACUUUGCUCUCAAAUUUUAUAUAUUUAUUAAAAAUCAAGCUGACCACCUUUGUGAAAUUUUUCGCCUUAAUCUAACUGGCGGAUUGAUAGAUAUCUAAGAAAACCUCACUAGUCCUCAAAAUCCUGAAUUUCAAAACUAUAAUCCUCAAAAACCUUCAUACUUUUUAAUAUAGGCAUUCGAUCCAACUCAAAUUCAUAGCACACAUCUUGUACAACUACACACUCAAAUCCAAAAAAAUUCAUCCAUAGAUCUAUUACCAAACUUUUGAAAUUAUCCAAAUUAUCAACUCUAUUUUAUUUUCCAAAAAUCAAAGUUACUAAAAAUAACAUUGACUUUGCAAAGCUCUUACAAAGUUAUUACUUAUUCAAAUCCUUCAAAAUUAGUGCCUAUAGAAAUUCUAUGAAGUAUUUCCUCCAAUUUCACUCUAUGAUCAAUAAAAGAAAUCUUGAAUCAUAGUUGAGACUUAGUUUUGUGCCUUGAGAUCUGUUUUCAACUCAAGUUCAUAACCAGCCCUUUUUGGAUAU